GACGAACGCUGGCGGCGUGCUUAACACAUGCAAGUCGAACGAAGUGGCGCACGGGUGAGUAACGCGUAAUCAACCUGCACUUCAGUGGGGGACAACAGUUGGAACCGACUGCUAAUACGGCAUACUCAAGGUGGGGUUGCCGGCGGAUUAGCUAGUUGGAGGGGUAACGGCCCACCAAGGCGAUGAUCAGUAGGCCGUCUUAGGAGAGUGACCGGCACAUUGGGAACUGUGCAAGGCCCAGACUCCUACGGGAGGCAGCAGUGGGGAAACUUCCGGAAAUGACGAAAGUCUGACGGAGCCACGCCGCGUGAGGGAUGACGGCCUUCGGGUUGUAAAGCUCUGUUAAUCGGGACGCGGUACCGGAACAGAAAGCCACGGCUAACUACGUGCCAGCAGCCGCGGUAAUUC
Molecule: ribosomal RNA, 408 nt
Filed under: uncultured bacterium
Lineage: Bacteria
Description: partial 16S ribosomal RNA
Rfam family: Bacterial small subunit ribosomal RNA
Source: RNAcentral